UGAAAAGAGAUAAAAAUUCUGAGACCAAAAACAGAUGAGAAUUCUGAAACUGUACUAAUUUCCAGCAUAUUUCUUUGAUAAAAGUUGAUAUAAUUUUGUGUCAGCUGGGGAUUUCUGAUCUUCUUCAUUUAGUUAAAUCUCUGAAAGUUUUACAUCUUGCACCUGGGUUGAAUAUGGUCUGAUUUUGGGUUUCUAAAACUGAUUUUGAACUAUUGAGAGACUAUUGUUCCAUUGCUGCUGUUGACACUGACCUGUUAUUGCUGACCUUCUUCCUUUUCUGUCAUUUUGUUUUCCAGGUAUUGUCAAACACUAUGGACAUCACUUAAGUGCAUUUGAAGUUUGGAAUCUGAAAUUGAUCAAGAACUGUAGAUGUUCACAAUGAGUCUUAGUCGUUUCCCUUCAAUUUCAUAUAUGCUUGCAAUGUUUAUCAUUAGAAAUAUUUUGACUCGUAAAUAGAGCAUGGGCUGAUUGUCACAGCAUAAAACUGAAGUUUUGAGUGAUUUGAUUUUCUUGUUUAGCAUCAGUUGUGUUGAAAAUAGCUAUGGGUGAAAGAAGUG
Molecule: long non-coding RNA, 557 nt
Filed under: Nicotiana tabacum (common tobacco)
Lineage: Eukaryota; Viridiplantae; Streptophyta; Magnoliopsida; Solanales; Solanaceae
Description: long non-coding RNA (NTAB_LNC010666)
Source: RNAcentral